AAUCAACGCUGGCGGCGUGCCUAACACAUGCAAGUCGAGCGCGAAAGGGGAGCAAUCCCCAAGUAGAGCGGCGAACGGGUGAGUAACGCGUGGGUAAUCUGCCUCCGAGUGGGGAACAACACCGGGAAACUGGUGCUAAUACCGCAUGACAUCGUUGGACCUUCGGAUCUGACGAUCAAAGCCGGGGACCGCAAGGCCUGGCGCUUGGAGAGGAGCCCGCGUCCGAUUAGCUAGUUGGUGGGGUAAUGGCCCACCAAGGCUACGAUCGGUAGCCGGCCUGAGAGGGCGGACGGCCACACUGGGACUGAGACACGGCCCAGACUCCUACGGGAGGCAGCAGUGGGGAAUUUUUCGCAAUGGGCGAAAGCCUGACGAAGCAACGCCGCGUGGAGGA
This 394-nucleotide ribosomal RNA is filed under the name uncultured bacterium. Its description in RNAcentral is "bacterial SSU rRNA". It matches the Rfam family "Bacterial small subunit ribosomal RNA", at positions 29 to 408 of the family's 1533-position model. The record is from RNAcentral.